GCAUAUCAUUAGCGGAGUAAGAACCUACAGAUUCCCCUAGUAACCGGCGAGUGAAGCGGGAUGAGCUCAAAUUUAAAAUCUGGCUGGUUUACCAGUCCGAGUUGUAGUUUAAAGAAGCGUUUUCGGUGGCAGGCCGGGUAUAAAUCCUUUGGAACAGGGUAUCAUAGAGGGUGAGAAUCCCGUCUUUGACUCGGGCUGAUGUUACUAUGUGAUACGUUUUCAAAGAGUCGAGUUGUUUGGGAAUGCAGCUCAAAAUGGGUGGUAAAUUUCAUCUAAGGCUAAAUAUUGGCGAGAGACCGAUAGCGAACAAGUACCGUGAGGGAAAGAUGAAAAGAACUUUGAAAAGAGAGUUAAACAGUGCGUGAAAUUGUUGAAAGGGAAACGUUUGACACCAGCUAUGUAGGCGGAAAAUCAGUCAAGCGCAGUGAGGGGCUGGUGUUUGUCCGGACCGCAAGGCCGGCGGAUAUCUCAUCUUUGCUGUGGGUGAUGCACUUUUUCGUUCGCAGGUCAACAUCAGUUUCGCUUGCUGGACAAAACCCCGAGAGAAGGUAGCAGCUUUGGCUGUGUUAUAGCUCUGGGGCGAUACAGUGGGUGGGACUGAGGAUUCGCAGUGUGUGCUCUCGGGCAAGGCUGACUGGGUGCUCUGGGGUCGUUUGGCGUACAAUGCUUGCAUUUUGCGUCUUGUCUUCUUCAGACUCGCUUAGUUCGGCUCUUCCACGCUUAGGAUGUUGACUUAAUGGUUUUAAACGACCCGUCUUGAAACACGGACCAAGGAGUCUAACAUGCAUGCAAGUGUUUGGGUGGCAAACCCAUGCGCGUAAUGAAAGUGAACGUAGGUGCGAUCCGCAAGGUGCAGCAUCGACCGAUCUUGAUAUUUUUGGAUAGAUUUGAGUAAGAGCAUGUAUGCUGGGACCCGAAAGAUGGUGAACUAUGCCUGAAUAGGGUGAAGCCAGAGGAAACUCUGGUGGAGGCUCGUAGCGAUUCUGACGUGCAAAUCGAUCGUCAAAUUUGGGUAUAGGGGGCGAAAGACUAAUCGAACCAUCUAGUAGCUGGUUCCUGCCGA
Molecule: ribosomal RNA, 1063 nt
Filed under: Dissophora globulifera
Lineage: Eukaryota; Fungi; Mortierellomycota; Mortierellomycetes; Mortierellales; Mortierellaceae
Description: LSU rRNA
Rfam family: Eukaryotic large subunit ribosomal RNA
Source: RNAcentral